RNAcentral lists this ribosomal RNA (329 nucleotides) under uncultured soil bacterium. RNAcentral's name for it is "bacterial SSU rRNA". It matches the Rfam family "Bacterial small subunit ribosomal RNA", at positions 26 to 353 of the family's 1533-position model. The record is from RNAcentral.
AGAUUGAACGCUAGCGGGAUGCUUUACACAUGCAAGUCGAACGGCAGCGCGGACUUCGGUCUGGCGGCGAGUGGCGAACGGGUGAGUAAUAUAUCGGAACGUGCCCAGUAGCGGGGGAUAACUACGCGAAAGCGUGGCUAAUACCGCAUACGCCCUACGGGGGAAAGGGGGGAUUCUUCGGAACCUCUCACUAUUGGAGCGGCCGAUAUCAGAUUAGCUAGUUGGUGAGGUAAAGGCUCACCAAGGCGACGAUCUGUAGCUGGUUUGAGAGGACGACCAGCCACACGUGGGACUGAGACACGGCCCAGACCUCCGUACGGGAGGCAGCA